RNAcentral lists this ribosomal RNA (657 nucleotides) under Salmonella enterica subsp. enterica serovar Kentucky. RNAcentral describes it as "bacterial SSU rRNA". It matches the Rfam family "Bacterial small subunit ribosomal RNA", at positions 1 to 649 of the family's 1533-position model. The record is from RNAcentral. Lineage: Bacteria; Pseudomonadati; Pseudomonadota; Gammaproteobacteria; Enterobacterales; Enterobacteriaceae.
AAAUUGAAGAGUUUGAUCAUGGCUCAGAUUGAACGCUGGCGGCAGGCCUAACACAUGCAAGUCGAACGGUAGCACAGAGAGCUUGCUCUCGGGUGACGAGUGGCGGACGGGUGAGUAAUGUCUGGGAAACUGCCCGAUGGAGGGGGAUAACUACUGGAAACGGUAGCUAAUACCGCAUAACGUCGCAAGACCAAAGUGGGGGACCUUCGGGCCUCACACCAUCGGAUGUGCCCAGAUGGGAUUAGCUAGUAGGUGGGGUAACGGCUCACCUAGGCGACGAUCCCUAGCUGGUCUGAGAGGAUGACCAGCCACACUGGAACUGAGACACGGUCCAGACUCCUACGGGAGGCAGCAGUGGGGAAUAUUGCACAAUGGGCGCAAGCCUGAUGCAGCCAUGCCGCGUGUAUGAAGAAGGCCUUCGGGUUGUAAAGUACUUUCAGCGAGGAGGAAGGCGUUGUGGUUAAUAACCACUGCGAUUGACGUUACUCGCAGAAGAAGCACCGGCUAACUCCGUGCCAGCAGCCGCGGUAAUACGGAGGGUGCAAGCGUUAAUCGGAAUUACUGGGCGUAAAGCGCACGCAGGCGGUUUGUUAAGUCAGAUGUGAAAUCCCCGGGCUCAACCUGGGAACUGCAUUUGAAACUGGCAAGCUUGAGUCU